GCCGGGGUGGCGUAAUCGGUAGCCGCGCGACACUUAAAAUGUCGUGAUCGAGAGAUCAUGUGGGUUCGAGUCCCACCCCCGGCACCA
This 87-nucleotide transfer RNA is filed under the name Candidatus Kaiserbacteria bacterium CG10_big_fil_rev_8_21_14_0_10_59_10. RNAcentral's name for it is "tRNA-Leu". It matches the Rfam family "tRNA". Rfam says of the family: Transfer RNA (tRNA) molecules are approximately 80 nucleotides in length. Their secondary structure includes four short double-helical elements and three loops (D, anti-codon, and T loops). Lineage: Bacteria; Candidatus Kaiseribacteriota. The record is from RNAcentral.